Molecule: transfer RNA, 49 nt
Filed under: Rumex dentatus
Lineage: Eukaryota; Viridiplantae; Streptophyta; Magnoliopsida; Caryophyllales; Polygonaceae
Description: partial tRNA-Leu
Source: RNAcentral
AUUUAUUCCCUGAAGUCUGAUAGAUCUUUUGAAGAACCGAUCCAUCGGA